This 513-nucleotide small RNA is filed under the name uncultured Glomus. RNAcentral's name for it is "SSU rRNA". It matches the Rfam family "Eukaryotic small subunit ribosomal RNA", at positions 569 to 1085 of the family's 1831-position model. Lineage: Eukaryota; Fungi; Glomeromycota; Glomeromycetes; Glomerales; Glomeraceae. The record is from RNAcentral.
AGCAGCCGCGGUAAUUCCAGCUCCAAUAGCGUAUAUUAAAGUUGUUGCAGUUAAAAAGCUCGUAGUUGAAUUUCGGGGUUAGUAGGUUGGUCAUGCCUCUGGUAUGUACUGGUCUCACUGAUUCCUCCUUCCUGAUGAACCGUAAUGCCAUUAAUUUGGUGUUGCGGGGAAUUUGGACUGUUACUUUGAAAAAUUAGAGUGUUUAAAGCAAGCUAACGCUUGAAUACAUUAGCAUGGAAUAAUGAAAUAGGACGUUCGAUCCUAUUUUGUUGGUUUCUAGGAUUGACGUAAUGAUUAAUAGGGAUAGUUGGGGGCAUUAGUAUUCAAUUGUCAGAGGUGAAAUUCUUGGAUUUAUUGAAGACUAACUACUGCGAAAGCAUUUGCCAAGGAUGUUUUCAUUAAUCAAGAACGAAAGUUAGGGGAUCGAAGACGAUCAGAUACCGUCGUAGUCUUAACCAUAAACUAUGCCGACUAGGGAUCGGAUGAUGUUAAUUUUUAAUGACUCAUUCGGCG